AGCCUUCUGUAUUGUACUGAGAUUUCGUCACACACCAAGGGCUGAUGAGACUUCCAAGAUAAGUGAAGCG
This 70-nucleotide microRNA precursor is filed under the name Schistosoma haematobium. RNAcentral describes it as "mir-3492 microRNA precursor family". It matches the Rfam family "mir-3492 microRNA precursor family". Lineage: Eukaryota; Metazoa; Platyhelminthes; Trematoda; Strigeidida; Schistosomatidae. The record is from Rfam by way of RNAcentral.